RNAcentral lists this long non-coding RNA (1484 nucleotides) under Crocodylus porosus (Australian saltwater crocodile). Its description in RNAcentral is "lncRNA (ENSCPRG00005012063.1)". Lineage: Eukaryota; Metazoa; Chordata; Crocodylia; Crocodylidae. The record is from RNAcentral.
CCACUUCCCCCAGUGGCUCCGGCGGGGCGCAUCUUGCGCGGAGCAGGCACUGGGGGAGGGGAGAAGGGGGCGCCAUAUCUAGCCGGCUUUUGGAUUUUUUUUGUUUGUUUGUUUAGUUCGAGAACUUCAAACUUGAGUCUUAAAAAAAAGUUUAAGAAGGAGGGGAAAAAAGCCAAGCGCGGGCGGGCAAGAAGGCCCCCCCGCGGCGGCCGGGCUGAGGCCGGGCGCGAACUCAUCGCAGGCGCGCGUCGGCACUGCCGCUUUAAGCAGCCUUGCCCAUUGUUUGCCCCCCGACCAAUGGCGGCGGCGCUGCCCGCUGGGCGCGGCCAAUGAGCGGCGCGCAGGGCAGGCGCGGCGCCGCCCCCGGCUCUAUAAGAGGGGCCGCGGCGCCGCGUGAGCCCUCCACUGCGCGGCCAAGGCCAUCUUUGCAUUGUUCGCUGCGCUGCGCCUGCGCCUGCGCCCGACCGCGCGGGGCUAUUUUUAUACAGAGCUAUUUUGUACCCGCCCGCACCGCACCAUGUCGGACACGGCCGUGGACACCAGCGCCGAGAUCUCCGCCAAGGAUCUAAAAGAGAAGAAGGAAGUCGUGGAAGAGACGGAAAACGGCAGAGAUGCGCCCGCCAACGGCAAUGCUGUGAGGAAGAGGACGGUGACGAAGACGACGAAGCCGAGGGGGCCACAGGCAAACGGGCGGCUGAGGACGAUGAGGUGAGCGGGGAUGGAUCCCAGGCGCUUUGCUGGAGCAGAGCUGGCCGGGUCCCCCGGAGGGAUCCACCGGGGCACGUGUGGGCCAGGGAGCCUGGCUGGGCUCUUGGAGCCCAGCUCCUGCCCCCAUCCCGGGCACGGCUCUCGCGUUUGCCUCCGGGGUGCUGCCCUCGGGGACUCAGCCCGCUUCCAUUUGUACCCGUGGCCUGCUUAGGAGCGCCCUCGGCUGCAGCCGGAGCAGCCCGUGCUCCCGCGCUGGGAUGGCACAGCUGGGAGGGGAGUCUUCCUCCACGCUCUGCUGGCAGCUGGGGAAGGGGCUGGCGCAACCCCGGAUGCCCUGGCUGGGUUAGGAAGGGGACGAGGGGGGUGACGGACGCUGAACCCCAGCACAAUGGUGCUGGGAGCCGGCUCUGCCCUCUCCAGCCCUUGGCCUCUCCUGGGCAGUGCCAGCGGCACGUCAAAGGGUGCAAGAGACGGGGCUGGUGCGGGCAAGACGGCUGCUUCCUGAGGAGAGCGGCAGCUCGCUGGGUACCUCGGGUGGGGUCUGCGCAGAGCCAGGUGCACAGAAAGGCCACUCGGAUAAGGCCCCUUAUCUCCGCGCGGGAGAGGAAGCCGAAAACCCGCCUCCAGGAGCAAAGGCUGAAUCCCUUCUUGCUGGGGCUGGCAGGGAGGCAGAGGGAACCACGGUCCUUGGCCCCUCGUGGCCGCCCCAGAGCUGGGCAGGAUGGGGCAUUUGGGCUCCCUAAAACUGCAGGGCAAAGAGGUGCCAAGGGGGCAGC